UAGGGAAUCUUCGGCAAUGGGGGGAACCCUGACCGAGCAACGCCGCGUGAGUGAAGAAGGUUUUCGGAUCGUAAAGCUCUGUUGUUAAGGAAGAACGAGUGUGAGAAUGGAAAGUUCAUGCUGUGACGGUACUUAACCAGAAAGGGACGGCUAACUACGUGACAGCAGCCGCGGUAAUACGUAGGUCCCGAGCGUUGUCCGGAUUUAUUGGGCGUAAAGCGAGCGCAGGCGGUUAGAAAAGUCUGAAGUGAAAGGCAGUGGCUCAACCAUUGUAGGCUUUGGAAACUGUUUAACUUGAGUGCAGAAGGGGAGAGUGGAAUUCCAUGUGUAGCGAUGAAAUGCGUAGAUAUAUGGAGGAACACCGGUGGCGAAAGCGGCUCUCUGGUCUGUAACUGACGCUGAGGCUCGAAAGCGUGGGGAGCGAACAGG
This 429-nucleotide ribosomal RNA is filed under the name Verrucomicrobiota bacterium. RNAcentral's name for it is "Verrucomicrobia bacterium partial 16S ribosomal RNA". It matches the Rfam family "Bacterial small subunit ribosomal RNA", at positions 355 to 776 of the family's 1533-position model. The record is from RNAcentral. Lineage: Bacteria; Pseudomonadati; Verrucomicrobiota.